AGCAGAUUAAAACUAGAUAACAACUUGUUUGCUUCAACCAUGGCAUAGAGAUUUGAUUUAUAAAGAUGCAUCAUUUGGCUUUUGGUAUUGAUUGGAUAAACCUUCAAAUUCUUUAUCUUCCACAAACACCUCAAACAUAGCACCACAACCUCCAGAUACAUCUACAACGUUGACGCUUGCCUAUAAGAGAAAUCUGCCAGUUAAUAACUGGUGUAUUUGCUGCUGGGCGUUGUUUUGUUGAACUGACGAUAAAAAUCGCGUUAAAAUCGAGAGUUGGCGGUUUGUUAUGUAUUUGCAUCUGUUUGACAAAAGGCUUAGAGUGAGGAGUUAGAGUCUAAAUGCUAAAUUCAGCUGUUCUUGCUGAAGUCACGGUUGACUUAUUAUUCGCCCGCGCCUUUGAAUGUGGUUGCAGCUACCUUGCGAAGUUGCUACCUAGCGCUUUUCUCACGUUAACCAGAUUAACUCCUGCAGAGGCUAAUGAACGGCAGAAAAGGAUGGAGUCUCGUUUAAACCACUGUUUCUUAUCCUAAUUGCAAUAUUUUUCAACGUGUGUCAGUUAAUCCAUUCUGACCCAAUAGAAAAAAAUGAUGACUUGAAGAUUCUCAACAACGACGAGCUUGAAAAUUUGGCAGGGUACAUCUGCCACAAACUUGGUAAAGACAACCCCGAAAUUUGUGCCAAUUCAGAAAAUUGUUCGUCUUAUACUUUGGUGGAUCACCUAUCUGAAGGAGGACUCUCAAAUCCAACAGAUACAGCAAGCAGUAUUUGACGACUUAAAUGGUACUGAUUUGCAUAUGUAUAUGGACAAAUUCCGUCCAGAAGUACUUAGAUUUAGUAAUUUUGUAAAUUGUAGCACCAAAGUAAAAUAAUUGUUUUUCAGAGCUAGAAUGUAUUUUAGGAUUCGUUCCUUAAAUAAAAACUUAAUUGAAAAUAUGUACAGCAAAAAAAGAAAAUUAAAUAAGAAAAUAAAUUGAUAGUUGGUC
This is a long non-coding RNA of Bactrocera neohumeralis, 983 nucleotides long. RefSeq lists it as uncharacterized. The record is from RefSeq and is a predicted model, not a curated record. The transcript has 6 exons. Lineage: Eukaryota; Metazoa; Arthropoda; Insecta; Diptera; Tephritidae.